Molecule: ribosomal RNA, 1099 nt
Filed under: Alcaligenes faecalis
Lineage: Bacteria; Pseudomonadati; Pseudomonadota; Betaproteobacteria; Burkholderiales; Alcaligenaceae
Description: bacterial SSU rRNA
Rfam family: Bacterial small subunit ribosomal RNA
Source: RNAcentral
GCAGCAGUGGGAAUUUGACAAUGGCGAACCCUGAUCCAGCCAUCCCGCGUGUAUGAUGAAGGCCUUCGGGUUGUAAAGUACUUUGGCAGAGAAGAAAAGGUAUCCCCUAAUACGGGAUACUGCUGACGGUAUCUGCAGAAUAAGCACCGGCUAACUACGUGCCAGCAGCCGCGGUAAUACGUAGGGUGCAAGCGUUAAUCGGAAUUACUGGGCGUAAAGCGUGUGUAGGCGGUUCGGAAAGAAAGAUGUGAAAUCCCAGGGCUCAACCUUGGAACUGCAUUUUUAACUGCCGAGCUAGAGUAUGUCAGAGGGGGGUAGAAUUCCACGUGUAGCAGUGAAAUGCGUAGAUAUGUGGAGGAAUACCGAUGGCGAAGGCAGCCCCCUGGGAUAAUACUGACGCUCAGACACGAGAGCGUGGGGAGCAAACAGGAUUAGAUACCCUGGUAGUCCACGCCCUAAACGAUGUCAACUAGCUGUUGGGGCCGUUAGGCCUUAGUAGCGCAGCUAACGCGUGAAGUUGACCGCCUGGGGAGUACGGUCGCAAGAUUAAAACUCAAAGGAAUUGACGGGGACCCGCACUAGCGGUGGAUGAUGUGGAUUAAUUCGAUGCAACGCGAAAAACCUUACCUACCCUUGACAUGUCUGGAAAGCCGAAGAGAUUUGGCCGUGCUCGCAGAGAACCGGAACACAGGUGCUGCAUGGCGGUCGUCAGCUCGUGUCGUGAGAUGUUGGGUUAAGUCCCGCAACGAGCGCAACCCUUGUCAUUAGAUGCUACGCAAGAGCACUCUAAUGAGACUGCCGGUGACAAACCGGAGGAAGGUGGGGAUGACGUCAAGUCCUCAUGGCCCUUAUGGGUAGGGCUUCACACGUCAUACAAUGGUCGGGACAGAGGGUCGCCAACCCGCGAGGGGGAGCCAAUCUCAGAAACCCGAUCGUAGUCCGGAUCGCAGUCUGCAACUCGAUUGCGUGAAGUGGAAUCGCUGUAAUCGCGGAUCAGAAUGUCGCGGUGAAUACGUUCCCGGGUCUUGUACACACCGCCCGUCACACCAUGGGAGUGGGUUUCACCAGAAGUAGGUAGCCUAACCGUAAGGAGGGCGCU